RNAcentral lists this ribosomal RNA (252 nucleotides) under uncultured bacterium. RNAcentral's name for it is "partial 16S ribosomal RNA". It matches the Rfam family "Bacterial small subunit ribosomal RNA", at positions 524 to 776 of the family's 1533-position model. The record is from RNAcentral.
UACGUAGGGGCGAGCGUUGUCCGGAAUCCUUGGGCGUCAAGCGCGCGUAGGUGGCCUCGUAUGUCCGCUGUGAAAGUCAAAGGCUCAACCUUUGAAAGCCGGUGGAUACUGUGAGGCUAGAGUACGGAAGAGGCGAGUGGAAUUCCUGGUGUAGCGGUGGAAUGCGCAGAUAUCAGGAGGAACACCAAUAGCGAAGGCAGCUCGCUGGGACGUAACUGACACUGAGGCGCGAAAGCGUGGGGAGCGAACAGG